UAUUUCACAAAGGAGUGCUUUGGCUGAGAUCGCAGUUGCGAAAUCCUAGGGACCUGAUCUUGUUAAUACAAGCGUAGGGAUUGUGACCAGUAAAAUC
RNAcentral lists this non-coding RNA (97 nucleotides) under Streptococcus phocae. RNAcentral describes it as "TPP sequence". It matches the Rfam family "TPP riboswitch aptamer (THI element)". From Rfam's summary of the family: Vitamin B(1) in its active form thiamin pyrophosphate (TPP) is an essential coenzyme that is synthesised by coupling of pyrimidine and thiazole moieties in bacteria. The previously detected thiamin-regulatory element, thi box was extended, resulting in a new, highly conserved RNA secondary structure, the THI element, which is widely distributed in eubacteria and also occurs in some archaea. Analysis of operon structures identified a large number of new candidate thiamin-regulated genes, mostly transporters, in various prokaryotic organisms. The record is from RNAcentral. Lineage: Bacteria; Bacillati; Bacillota; Bacilli; Lactobacillales; Streptococcaceae.